UGAAUCACAUCCUUGUCCACUCUGACUGCCAUCCCCCACCCCAGCUCCUUAAAGACAUCAAAGAUCCCUCAGGUGCUGCCCACAGGCAGGCAGGGCCUGACCAGGGCUCCAAUCUGAGAUUCCCAGUUCAGAGACAGCCAGCCACACCCAAGGGACGCACAGCACCCACAGAUACAGGGUCUGGGGUUUGAGCCAAACCCAAGAGCAAGGAGGCCCCUCAGGACAUUGGCUGGCAGGGAGGGGAGUGGCUGGGUGGUGGCCAGGUCCCUGUGUUUCCCUCUUGGCUGGGCUGGGCAGGGAGGGUCCCAGCCUCCCCCAUCUGUUUGUCUCUACAACCUGCUGAGGCCACUGUGGAGGCAGUGGGGAGGGAGUUUCCAGGAAGUUCCUGUCACACAAGGAGGGGCAGCAGCGCCCCUUUGCCCCAGGGGAGAGCUGCGUGGGACAUGUGCCCAGCUCAGCCCUGGGACCCAAAAUGGAGAAGAGAAAGGAGAAACUGAGGAUGGCAACCCCCCUCCGUGGGAACCCUGGGAAAGGCGGCACUGCAGGGCGUGGGCCGCUAGCAAGAACCGAUGGCCUUCCACCCCAGCAUUCGGUCUGCCCAGGCUUGCCUCAGUUUCCCCAUCUGGCCAGAAGCCCGAGAUGGCUACUUCCAGGGGGGUGUGAGCAGCAGAAAGAAGCGGACUAAGGCGACCAGAAGAGGAGGGGGAUUUGGGGAAGUCGGGGCCCUGUCCCUUUUCCGAGCCCCGGUCGCCAAGCCUCCCCUCCCCCGCCUGGCAUCUGAGCCGCCCAGAUAACGGGACCUCCCCGGGUGGAGCAUGCGCCGUGCGUCCUGGCCCAUCAGCCGGAGGGGGUGCGGGGGCUCCCGCGAGAGGGGACGCAGGGCGACCCGGCGGGAGCAGGGGGGCGUGGGGUUGGCGCAGAGAGGAAUGCUGGGCCGAGAAGCCGGAGGGGGGCCCCCAGCUGCAGCGCGGGUGUUUGAGAUCUCCGAUGUCCCCCUCCCCCAAAGCCCCCCAACUCAGCAGAGGCGGUCGCGGGCCAGAGGCGGCUCCUACCGUAGGCUCCGUCCUUCCGCUCGUCCUCCAUGGCCGCGUCGGGCGAGGAGGGGAGUCCGAGCCGGAGCGACCCCAGCCCGCGCGGGCGGGAGGCUCCGCGGGCUGCAGCGCCCCGCCCCGGCCCGGUCCGGCCCCGCCCCGCCCGCCCGGCCAGCCCCGCACGCUGCCUCCAAUGGGAGCCCGGAGCGGGCCGGGGCGGGGCGGGGGGCGGGGCCGGGCUCGGGAGAGGGUGGGGCCCCAACCUUUGUUUCCCAUCUGGGCUCUCGGGAGACUCUCCAGCUUGGCGUGUUUGGUGGGCUAGGAGCAGUGGUCACCCAUUCAUUCGUCCGCCGACCCAUUCACUCAUCAAAUAGGUAUUGAGCGCUGACUGUGUGCCACUGAAACAGACAAAAAGAUGCCUUUUUUUUUUUUUAUUAUUCAUCAGAUCGGCAAGAAUUUUAGUCUGGUAACAACCAGCGGGGUGAGCACAGGCUGGGGGACAAAAUGUUACCCGGCAGAAAGAUUAAAUCCAACCGUGUUCACCCUGUGCGAUUCAUCUCUGCCAUCGACCCUGGAGAAGCCAUCGGAGGUCCUCAUCUCACCGGUUGGUGAGUUCCAGCCCUGUGGACCGGCUCUGCACUGACAACACG
Molecule: long non-coding RNA, 1681 nt
Organism: Prionailurus viverrinus (fishing cat)
Lineage: Eukaryota; Metazoa; Chordata; Mammalia; Carnivora; Felidae
Exons: 4
Source: RefSeq, a predicted model, not a curated record